GAGGAAUAUUGGUCAAUGGACGCAAGUCUGAACCAGCCAUGCCGCGUGAAGGAUGACUGCCCUAAGGGUUGUAAACUUCUUUUGUACGGGGGUAAUAGUCCGAUUGCGAUCGGAUAUGAAAGUACUGUAUGAAUAAGCGUCGGCUAACUACGUGCCAGCAGCCGCGGUAAUACGUAGGACGCAAGCGUUAUCCGGAUUUAUUGGGUUUAAAGGGUGCGUAGGCGGAUCCAUAAGUCAGUGGUGAAAUACUGUCGCUCAACGAUAGCAUUGCCAUCGAUACUGUGGAUCUUGAGUACAGUUGAGGUAGGCGGAAUGUGUAGUGUAGCGGUGAAAUGCUUAGAUAUUACACAGAACACCGAUUGCGAAGGCAGCUUACUAAGCUGAAACUGACGCUGAGGCACGAAAGCGUGGGGAUCAAAC
RNAcentral lists this ribosomal RNA (420 nucleotides) under uncultured bacterium. Its description in RNAcentral is "bacterial SSU rRNA". It matches the Rfam family "Bacterial small subunit ribosomal RNA", at positions 356 to 773 of the family's 1533-position model. The record is from RNAcentral.